AGUCGACCCCGAGUGAGACGGCAUAUAGUCCUCGCUUUUCUGNAGUGAAGGGAGGACCAAGAAUAAGGGCUGGGCAAGACCGGUGCCAGCCGCCGCGGUAAUACCGGCAGUCCGAGUGAUGACCGAUUUUAUCCGGCCUAAAGCGUCUGUANCCGNCCAGACGGGUCCGNCGGGAAAUCUGCACGGCCAACGUGCAGGCGUCCGGCGGACACCAGCUGGCUUGGGGCCGGAAGAGCCAGGGGGUACGUCCGGGGUAGGAGUGAAAUCCCGUAAUACCGGACGGACCACCGGUGGCGAAAGCGACCUGGGAGGACGGACCCGACGGUGAGGGACGAAAGCUAGGGUCACGAACCGGAUUAGAUACCCGGGUAGUCCUAGCCGUAAACGAUGCCCGCUAGGUGUGGCGCAGGCUCCGAGCCUAUGCUGUUCCACAGCGAAGGCGCUAAGCGGGCCGCCUGGGAAGUACGUCCGCAAGGAUGAAACUUAAAGGAAUUGGCGGG
RNAcentral lists this ribosomal RNA (500 nucleotides) under uncultured Halorhabdus sp. Its description in RNAcentral is "bacterial SSU rRNA". It matches the Rfam family "Archaeal small subunit ribosomal RNA", at positions 373 to 872 of the family's 1478-position model. Lineage: Archaea; Methanobacteriati; Methanobacteriota; Halobacteria; Halobacteriales; Haloarculaceae. The record is from RNAcentral.